AUACGUAGGGGGCGAGCGUUGUCCGGAAUGAUUGGGCGUAAAGGGCGCGUAGGCGGCCUGUUAAGUCUGGAGUGAAAGUCCUGUUUUCAAGAUGGGAAUUGCUUUGGAUACUGAUGGGCUUGAGUGCAGGAGAGGUUAUCGGAAUUCCCGGUGUAGCGGUGAAAUGCGUAGAGAUCGGGAGGAACACCAGUGGCGAAGGCGGGUAACUGGACUGCAACUGACGCUGAGGCGCGAAAGUGUGGGGAGCAAACAGGAUUAGAUACCCUGGUAGUCCACACUGUAAACGAUGAAUGCUAGGUGUAAGAGGUAUCGACCCCUUUUGUGCCGGAGUUAACACAAUAAGCAUUCCGCCUGGGGAGUACGGCCGCAAGGUUGAAACUCAAAGGAAUCGGCGGGG
This 397-nucleotide ribosomal RNA is filed under the name uncultured bacterium. Its description in RNAcentral is "partial 16S ribosomal RNA". It matches the Rfam family "Bacterial small subunit ribosomal RNA", at positions 523 to 918 of the family's 1533-position model. The record is from RNAcentral.